Molecule: long non-coding RNA, 282 nt
Organism: Drosophila subpulchrella
Lineage: Eukaryota; Metazoa; Arthropoda; Insecta; Diptera; Drosophilidae
Exons: 2
Source: RefSeq, a predicted model, not a curated record
UUUCUUUUAGUCUUCAGUAUGAAUCUGAUGUUUUUGGCGGUGUUUGUCGCCUUUGUGGCCAAUUCUCUGGCUCAGAAAAAUGAAAUAUGCUACGAUUUUCCCUUUGAGGAUGGCAGUGGUUCAUUUACCUGUUACGCCGUUCUUCCCCGUUGGUCUUACGUUUCCGUUUUUAAAAGGGUGCGCCGACUUUACCUACGGAGGUUGCGGUGGAAAUAAAAAUAAUUUCGAUUCUAAAAAGGAAUGCGAAGACACUUGUGUUGAAUAAAAAAAAAUUAACUUGUA